Planococcus citri (citrus mealybug) is the source of this 720-nucleotide long non-coding RNA. RefSeq lists it as uncharacterized. The record is from RefSeq and is a predicted model, not a curated record. Lineage: Eukaryota; Metazoa; Arthropoda; Insecta; Hemiptera; Pseudococcidae. The transcript has 3 exons.
UACACUAACAUGUAAAAAUUCAAAUUACAUACGUUUAAGUAUUCAUUUAUUAUACAGCCUCAUCACCAUGCACAUCAACACGUAUCACGUUUUUUUCUUACUACUCUCCUUCUGGAACUGCAUAUUUUUGAGCACUCAAGGGCUAAUUAAGAGUAAUGAAAAUACUGCUGGUGAGGAAGAGGUGACCAACAUGCUUCAAUUUAAAUAUGAAGCGCUGAAACGGCUCGGUAUUACUCCUCCCCCGGGUUUUACACCAUUUGGUCUUACGAAUCUGAUAGAUUAGCACCUACAGUAAAGCAGCAUCUUCUACAUCAAAUUCAUGGUCGUGCUGAGCUAAUUACAAUAAAAACCGAUUAAAAUGCCAGGUUCUGGACACUGAAUUAACGACUUCAAAUUGAACUCCAUCCCAUAUCUUUGGUACAUGUUUUACUCAGAUUUAUUACAAUAUGUUUAUACUUUUUUUACACAUUUUUUUUUUUUUUGCCAAAUUUCUCUAAAAUUUCACCAGUUCUUGUGUUUACAAGAAGUUUAAAUAACAUUCAAAAAUGAUUCACAUACUAUAGGUAACUUACUUUGAAGUAAUUUUAACGACAGUUUGUACAUAUAAAGGUACUUAAGUGUAAGUUUGGUCGAAUUUCUAACAAUUCGAAAAAUUCUGUCAAUAUUUUAAGUAAAUAUUAUUCAACGUUCUGAGAAAAUAUAACACAAUCAUAACUUGAA